Phalaenopsis equestris is the source of this 239-nucleotide long non-coding RNA. RefSeq lists it as uncharacterized. The record is from RefSeq and is a predicted model, not a curated record. NCBI's taxonomy places the organism in Eukaryota, Viridiplantae, Streptophyta, Magnoliopsida, Asparagales, Orchidaceae. The transcript is spliced from 2 exons.
UUCAGUUCGGAUAACUAUUAAGGGGGUGGAAUACUAGGGUUAGGGCUUUCGGCUGGAUGCAAUUUCGUACCGGGGAAUGCAGAUGGCUGCGGCGCAUCAAAGGUCAGUGUAUCUCACCGCCCUAUCUCAGGAGAUCGAGAGGAAACUCCAAAAGGCGCUGAACUCUCCGUCCCAAAGGCUUCAACUGUUGCAGCAACUGUUUGCCGAUAUAGCGCUAGAGAUUGAUGACCGAGCAAGAG